GCUGAAAUAGUUUAAAAGGUUAAAACAUACCACUCAUGACGGUAAAACAAAGGUUCAAUUCCUUUUUUCAGCU
Molecule: transfer RNA, 73 nt
Filed under: Botryobasidium botryosum FD-172 SS1
Lineage: Eukaryota; Fungi; Basidiomycota; Agaricomycetes; Cantharellales; Botryobasidiaceae
Description: tRNA-Met (CAT) (tRNA-Met-CAT-3-1)
Rfam family: tRNA
About the family: Transfer RNA (tRNA) molecules are approximately 80 nucleotides in length.
Source: Rfam by way of RNAcentral